GGGGACAGCGCCCUCUGCGCGCUCCGCCCGAGCCGACCGGACCUCAGCCGAUGUGGCAUAAAAUAAAUCAUCGCUCGUGUCCCCGAUCUGCUUUUCCAGCUCUGUAGGAUGGCCUAAAAUGACAUCAAAAUACCACUCAGUCCUUACAGCCUCACCUCCGCGAAGUCCUACAAAGAUCUCUGUAGUACUUUAGUGGCAUAAUUAAUGAUGCUGUUGUUUGUUACUAGUAAUUUGCUUUUAUUCUUUUAAAUCCUUUGCCUGUAAUAAAAUUGUGCUUUGCUUAACACAUCUGAUAGAUCAACAAAGCCCAAGGAGGUUUUGGUCGAAGUUUUUGUUACUGGCCAUAGAGGUAGAAAAACAGCAAAAUAAGAGAUCUAGUAAGAACAUUCAGGAACUAUGUGAUGGCAAAGGUCACAGGCAGUCAACAGAGAUACUCUUACUGUCUGUUUCUGUACCUGACUUACUCAAAAAUAAUGUCAGUAUUUGGGAUAGGAUCCUGCUACCUUGUGAGCUGAAAUUAUGGACUUUCUAGUCCUUAGAUCACAGCAGCAAGCAGGAACCCAAUACCCAGAUGAGAUUAACUGAGAGAUUGCAGCUGUGUAAGUUGUUCUUUUGCCUCUCCUGGAAAGGAUGGUUUUCUGCAAGACUCAGAUCCAAGCACCUGCACAGACAUGAUGUGGAGUAAGACAGUAAAAUAUUAAUUUUCACUACCUGAAUCUUCUUUAGCCAUCUGGGUGAAUGCUAUGGUAUGUGCUGGGAGAAGGAGAGUUAUUGCAAUAAUAAGGACUUUAUGCACCUAUCUACUCUGUUUCCUAAUUUGCAACAUAAAUAAUACAAAGCUGCAAAGAUGCUGACAUGUUUAAUGCAAAAAGCAACUUUUGUUAGGGUCUAGUAUAGCACAACUAUACAAGCCACAGCUAAAAUAACAGUUCUUUCACUUGAGAAAAUGUGUCAAGAUGCAGAAAAGAUCAGUGCCCUAGGGAGUCUUUGAUCUUGACAUGAAAGAGAGGUUAGAGAAGAGAAAUGUUGUAAAUGUUGCAACGAUGAAUUAAUGUAAAAGGAGAUUAAGUGAGUAACCCAAGAUUAUUUAGGAAAGCCUAUGCCAGAGCCAGGAAACAAACUGAAAUAAGAAAGAAGGACAAAUUACAGACUUGGAAUAUUGAAGAGCUCAGAACAGAAACUAGGGAAAUGUGUUUUAAAGCACGGUAACAGCUGACUGAGGUAGGUGGGUCUUGGAUUCAUGACCAUGUUCAGAUGCAUCACACUUGGAUAGUCUUUCAUGGAUGCUGUGACUCCCUAGGAAGCUGCUGGCCAGGGACAAACAUCACUCAGUGGUUUGCAGAGGCAUGUGGCUGUCCACCCUCUGUUGCUCUGCACUUCACCAAGGUCUUGGCCUGUGCUGGACAAGAGUUCAUGCCUGGAGUUUAUCAUGAUUGCCACAUACGACCUUAGCCUUGAGGAAUCACAAAUCCGUCCUCUGUCGUAACAAUUGACUCUUCCCAAAAUAUUAAACAUGCUAAAAAUCAGCCAGUUACUGAGCAGCCUAAUGAUGGAUUAGGUACUUACUGCUAAAAGUCUUGACCAGUUCUUGCAGCAAACAGAAGCAACCACAGGUACCCCUUCACUUCACUACUUGGAACUGAUGAUACACUGCCCUAGAACCAUUUCCUGCCCUAUGUGGAUGUGAGGAUUACCUAAGAUUCCAAAGGUUAAAAGCAGACUGCCAAUUUUUGCAAAUCCCCACUUUGUACUGCUAUGAAGAGCUACAGAGGAUGCAGAGGAGUCUGGAAUGGAAAAGCUGAUAUUCUGAAAUAAAGUGGUGAGCUGUACUAGGGCCAGCCUGUGCAGGGCACACAUCGUGGUGUCCGGAGUCUGCUCUCUGCUGCGGGAGGCACCGCUGCUCCUGCUGCACCCCGCCACCUCUUCUCCCUACAAAUCCUUGCUGGCUGGGAGGAAGUACUGCCUUGGCAUUAGUGUGUGGAAACCUGGGCCUGUGAUACAGAAGCUCGCUGAGAUUAUCACAACUGUCCCUGCCUGCAUUAAAAUACAUUAUUCUAAAGCCACUAGGUCCUCUCCUGUUCCCCAGCCUGAACUCCUGCAUCACUUGCCAGAAGAGGAAAUCCCACCAUGUAAGAAAAUUUCAUAGAUCUUCAAGCUUCCAAGGAGUUUCUAAAACAUGUGGGAAGUACUUUAAGCACCAAGGACUGAGAUUAGUCUGGAUGACUUCAGAGGUGCCUAGAGACUUUCAGGAUUCUUGGAAAAGAGAGCACAGAAGUGCCCUGCCCAUUGCAAUAGGGAAACAAAAUUAGAAUUUCUCUUCCCAUCUCUCAGAUGACUCCUGAAAACGCUUUGUAUUAUGUGUGACCUGGGUAUGAUUUCCAGACCCUACUUUAAGCAAGUAGAUACCUGGAGCAUGACAGAGGACACCGAAGCAACAAAGAUGAUAAAUGUCAAGUAAAAAACCUAAAGUAGAUGUGAAUUCUUUUCCAUGCAGACCAAGUAGGAUGGCAUUUAGUGUACUAAAUUUUAUAGACACAUCUCUAAUGUAAAAAAAUAAAAUUGAAGUACUUAUAGAAUAAUAUGUAUUGUGUGACAUGUUAAUACUGUUAAAGGUUGAGGGUUUUUUAUUUCCUGGUGGUGUGUAUUUCUGUUGGAUUGCUUCAGAGGCGCAAAAUAUAUUUAUUUAGUCAGAAGGACUCCUGCUAAUUGUUCAAUGGCUCUUGCUGUGCUGGAGAGAUUUUGAAUUUAUAUUGUUUCUCUAAAUGCAAAGCACUUCUGAUUCAUUUAACAUUGUUUGGACAGCUGUGAAGAGAAAUAAAAUGGCACAAUAUUGUUUUCCUGUGCUGCUUUUGAAGUGACAUAAUUACUUCAAAUAUUGCCUGAGAUACCCACUGAGACAAUCACAGGACUUAAUUUUAAAUGAAGCAAAAUGUAUCUCAACACUGAAAGCAAAACUGUGCACUGCAAAAUGAUGGAGGAAGUAUUGGAAUAAAGAUCCCUGCUAAGCACUCUGUUAUUUACCUACUUACCAGCCAGAGGUUACAUAUUUUUAGAUAACUGACAAUUUUUAUGUCAGAUAUACUAUACAGUUCCUUAAUUCUGUAACUCUCCUUUACAAAUAACAGCGGAGAUAUUUGUGUGCCAGUGAUAUUGUGAAACAGUGAUUACUGUUUCAAUCUUUCACAGAAGAUGCACUUGUUAUUGUGAACAACAUGCAGUUAUUCCUUCAGAGACAUCAUUUGUAGGUUGAUUGCCUCCUUAACGUCAUGAAGCAGUCUUUUGAUUAAAGAGAGAAAUGAGAAAUUUUAUGCUACUUCCUAAUUUUAAACUUCUCAGUGUAAAAGUGUGUCUUAGCAUUAUUCUUCAUUCAGAACAACUGCUAAUCUCCCCAAACAUAAUCUUCACCUCUGAGGCUGAUCCCCCAGCUCACUUGUCCAGAGGCAAACCUUGUUCUUUCCUUUAUCCAUGCUAGGCUGCAUAAUACCAAGUCCAUCCUUCACUGCUUCUUUCUUCCUCAUACAAAUGCUCUGGUCCCAUUUGCUUUACGAAAACAAAAGCAAAAUCUGUGUGCCUGGACCAGACUGUAAAAGGGUAUUUUGCCACCUAGCAUCAUGGAAGGAGCUGUUCAGUUCACAAAAUUGUUAGGUCCAAGGCAGAGGCUGGGUUCCCAGCCCAAGGCAGGAGGAGAAAAAAGAUGCUCAUGCUGUAUGAAUUAGUUUGGGACCCAUAGCAUGGCUAAAAGUGAGCUCUGGUAAGCUUUGUAUUGGAACUAGCAGUGCCCUUGUAAAGGAGGAACAGCACAGAAUGCUCUCUGAACAAAUGCACCAGCAUAAAUGCAAAGUCUUGGUGAUGAAAUACUGUAAAGCAGCUUUACAUCUUGCAUGUCCUUUACACUUGAGCUUGCCUUGUCUUUUAAGGGUCCCCUGGCAACAUUCAGAGCUUUCUGGUGAGAAAAAGGCUCAGGGCCCAGGAGGCAACUUUGUCAUUUUCAUAGAAAUAAUGGGAGGAAACGAAAACAGAAUCUACGUCAUACCUUCUGGAGUUGUUAUGCUGAGGAAAAAAUCUUGAGGAGCAUUUUGAUUAUUUCUAAUUUAGCAGCUCUAAAGCAAACUAAAGAUUUUGUAUUCACAGCAUGGGAUGAAUGUAUCCAUUUUCCAUAAUAUCCUGUCACAAAGCAGGCAAAAGCAGAUACUUAGAAGAUGAGAAAAAGAAAAGGUCAAAAAUAUAAUGAUGUUUCCUUAGACUAUUUUUCUGGUUCUGGAUAUUCCUUGAGUCCGAAAUGUUGUUUUUUUAAUUAACAGCCCUAAUUGCUUUUGAUGUUUUUUUUUUUCUUCUUUUGAAUUCAUGUAGAUGUUUUGCAUUUGAAAAAUACCUGUAUUUACCUGCAUAAUGUGAAAAAUAAAAUUCUUUCAUUUUCUCUGA
This is a long non-coding RNA of Taeniopygia guttata (zebra finch), 4422 nucleotides long. The record is from Ensembl. NCBI's taxonomy places the organism in Eukaryota, Metazoa, Chordata, Aves, Passeriformes, Estrildidae.